AAAACAUCUUUUCUUGUUUUAAAAUAUGAGAUUUGACCUGCCCAAUGAUUUAUUUAAUGGCCGCGGUAUUCUGACCGUGCAAAGGUAGCAUAAUCAUUAGUCUAUUAAUUUGUGGACUUGUAUGAAUGGUUGGACGAAAUAUUAACUGUCUCAGUAUUAAUUUUUUUAAUUUAAAUUUUAAGUUAAAAUGCUUAAAUUUUUUUAUAGGACGAGAAGACCCUAUAGAUCUUUAUUUGUUUAUUUAUAAAUUUAUUUUAGUUUAUUUAUUUUUUAUAUUUUUUCAUUUUUGGUUGGGGUGACUUGGAGAUAUAUUAAACUCUUUAUUUUAUUAUACAUUUAUUUUUGUUUUAUUGACCUUGUAAUAUUGUUUUAAGAUGUAGAUACCUUAGGGAUAACAGCGUAAUUCUUUUUGAGAGCCCAAAUCGACAAGAGAGAUUGCGACCUCGAUGUUGGAUUAAGAUUAUAAUUAGGUGUAGAUGUUUAAUUAUUAGGUCUGUUCGACCUUUAAAUUCUUACAUGAUCU
RNAcentral lists this ribosomal RNA (523 nucleotides) under Clitarchus tepaki. RNAcentral's name for it is "partial large subunit ribosomal RNA". It matches the Rfam family "Bacterial large subunit ribosomal RNA", at positions 1810 to 2606 of the family's 2925-position model. Lineage: Eukaryota; Metazoa; Arthropoda; Insecta; Phasmatodea; Phasmatidae. The record is from RNAcentral.